RNAcentral lists this ribosomal RNA (482 nucleotides) under uncultured bacterium. RNAcentral describes it as "bacterial SSU rRNA". It matches the Rfam family "Bacterial small subunit ribosomal RNA", at positions 29 to 507 of the family's 1533-position model. The record is from RNAcentral.
AAUGAACGCUGGCGGCGCGCCUAACACAUGCAAGUCGAGCGAGAAAGCCUCUUCGGAGGUGAGUACAGCGGCGGACGGGUGAGUAACACGUGAGAAUUUGCCCUUUAGUGAAGAAUACCCCCGAGAAAUUGGGGGUUAAUACUGCAUAUCUCCCUUUGGGGAGAAAGGUGGCCUCUUUGCUGCCGCUAAAGGAUAAGCUUGCGGACUAUUAGCUUGUUGGUAGGGUAAAGGCCUACCAAGGCUUUGAUGGAUAGCCGGCCUGAGAGGGUGAACGGCCACACUGGAACUUAGACACGGUCCAGACUCCUACGGGAGGCAGCAGUGAGGAAUAUUGCGCAAUGGGCGAAAGCCUGACGCAGCGACGCCGCGUGGAGGAUGACGGUUUUCGGAUUGUAAACUCCUGUUAAGUGGGAAGAAAGCCUCGCUUUUAAUAGAAGCGAGGGAUGACGGUACCAUUAGAGAAAGCACCGGCUAACUUCGUG